AGAGUUUGAUCCUGGCUCAGGAUGAACGCUAGCUACAGGCUUAACACAUGCAAGUCGAGGGGCAGCAUGAUUGAAGCUUGCUUUGAUUGAUGGCGACCGGCGCACGGGUGAGUAACGCGUAUCCAACCUUCCCUAUAGUAGAGAAUAGCCCGGCGAAAGUCGGAUUAAUGCUCUAUGUUGUAUUUAGAAGACAUCUGAAGAAUACCAAAGGUUUACCGCUAUAGGAUGGGGAUGCGUCUGAUUAGGUAGUAGGCGGGGUAACGGCCCACCUAGCCGACGAUCAGUAGGGGUUCUGAGAGGAAGGUCCCCCACAUUGGAACUGAGCCAUGAUCAAACUC
RNAcentral lists this ribosomal RNA (338 nucleotides) under uncultured Prevotella sp. RNAcentral's name for it is "bacterial SSU rRNA". It matches the Rfam family "Bacterial small subunit ribosomal RNA", at positions 8 to 338 of the family's 1533-position model. The record is from RNAcentral. Lineage: Bacteria; Pseudomonadati; Bacteroidota; Bacteroidia; Bacteroidales; Prevotellaceae.